CUCUCACCUGUCAUGGUGUGCACUGCUAAAGGGUAGCUGAAUACAGAAGCUGGAAGUUUCAAAGCAGCUGACAGAAGAUUUAGGGUCUACAAAUUAAGAAGAAAGGAAGUCUCUUCACCUUUUUACUAGCACAUGAUUUGACAAAUAUAUCUUGGUGCUGCUGAAUAGCUUGCUCUAUUCUGGCCCUUCUUACUUCAGCCAGCAUGAAGAACUGAAGCAAGUAGGAGUGGCAUUGAGAGGAACAACACAAAGAAGAAACCAGGGUUUGGUAACUGCUUAAACCAACACUAACAGAACUCUGGGCAGCUAAGCCUGAAUGUGCCUAAAUUCUGUGUUUACCUCUGAUGAACUUGAAAUGAAGAAAUUUUUCUGAAACCAAUAAUUUUUCAAGAUCUUCCCUGUUCUACAUCAAUUGUCCAGAGAUCUGGCUGUCAAAGCGAUACAGCAGGAGAAGCUUUUCCGCUUCUAUUCUCUCACUGCAUAGUUUUAAUUUAAUAACAGGUUAGUUUGUGAUUUCUGGUUUAGGAAGCCCCCUUGCUUUCUAAGCCAAGGAUUGAUAGAGCUGCAAGAACAGCCUUCUGCUACCAGAGUAAGCCUCUAUUAGCCAGUGCCAGAAACAGGAAAGGGGGUGGGUAAAUCUUUGAUGUUAUUUAAGGAUCACCUUUUAUGGGGAAAAAUUAAUAAAGUCUUUAUGAAAGUUCCAUUAAGAGUGGCCUCUCGGGGUUAAAUUAAUGUC
Molecule: long non-coding RNA, 736 nt
Organism: Anas platyrhynchos (mallard)
Lineage: Eukaryota; Metazoa; Chordata; Aves; Anseriformes; Anatidae
Source: RefSeq, a predicted model, not a curated record